Long non-coding RNA from Amphiprion ocellaris (clown anemonefish), 1996 nucleotides. The record is from Ensembl. NCBI's taxonomy places the organism in Eukaryota, Metazoa, Chordata, Actinopteri, Pomacentridae.
CUGCCAAAAAUCCAUCAGACGAAGAAGAAUUAAAAAGACGACGAAGAAGAACAUAAAGAAGGAAAUUCAGGGAUCCGCGAGUGACAAAGAACACGAAGAAAACGCGAUGCGGAAGAGUAAAAGUAGGAUCAGCGACAUGAUGAUGGAGGCCACACUUCACCUCGGAGAUUAGCUUUCAACCGCCCUAAGUGUUAUUGCAGCUUAUUACUAGUUUAUAGCGGUUGAGGUGGUUUUCUUUCUGUAGGCCCAGGCUUGCAACUUCAUCCAGUAACCACUCACAGUUAUUUCAGGACCUAUUAAUGGGUCCAGGUAAAGGGAUAAGAAAGAGUAACAAACACACAACAGAAGUGAAUAGAACCUUUGUGCAAAAUCACUUAAAUAUCCAAUUAUUUCAAACUGUAUCCCCUUACAGUAGUUUCACUACUUUCUAAGAUGAUCAAUGGAAUAUUUGCUGUCCUGUUGUUUAAAAAGUAACAGUUUAGAUGUACAAUGUUAGAACCACAGGGGCCACUAUAGGAACUCAGUGCAACUAAAGCCAUUGCUGAGUUUCAAAUCCUUCAGUUUUUUCCUACUUUGUAUGUCGACUUCUAUUUUGACGACAGACUCAAUCCAGCUCACCACCGGGGAUACCACUGUUGCACCAGCUUCUGAAGAUAUGUUGAACUCAGGCAAUAUACUUGGCGAGGUCGUUUCCUCUUGCGUAAUUUGGCAGCCUGCUUUUAAUUAUUAUCAUGCUGGAAUAUUCCUUUUCUGUCAAGCGUCUGCAGAUUGGGAGUCAUGUCUGUGCAGAUUCCCAGUCGUGAUGGUAAUCCUGGGAUCUUCAGCAAAAAUCAACUGGACUUGUUUUGUAGGUUUCACCUCUCAUCCAAGACGCUUCUUUGGUUCUAACUAACUGAUGGGGAGUUUCAGAGUUUUAUAUUCACUCCAGCUCACAUGGCAAACGAACUGUUAUGAUUCAGGACUCACAUGACACAAGACGUGUUCACCAACAACGAUAGGAAUCAUGGUGGUGGAGCUGACAGUUUACACAACCAAGGAUAUGAAUCUGCCAAGUCAGGACUGACUCAAGAUGUUAACGAUGGUGAAACUUUCUGGGGAGAAACUUUUUUCCUCAAUGGAUUGUCCUUUUUCCUUCAGAUGUAGAUGAACUGCUGAGUCUUGUCGUGAGGAGCUGCUUUCCUGUGUUGAGCCAUACGCGUGUGAAUCUGUUGUUUAGUCUCUCCUAUGUACAAGUCUGUGAACUCUUCGCUGCAUUGGACUGCACAUACAACGUUGCUCCGCUUGUAUGUUGGAGUUUGGACCUUGGGGUGAACCAGUUUCCCCGAAUAUCCGGAACCCAGAAACUGCUAUUCGGGCCACCCCUACCUGUUGCGCGUCCAUCGCUCAGCACUCAUGAGUUAAGUAACGUAAAGCAUGUCGCAAACCCGCUUGAGAAUCAAAGAACGUAAAGCAGCGUCAUGUCGCAAAAACCACAAGACGGAGUUUCUUUGCGAAAAAUCUCUUUUUUAUUCUUUAUUUUCACGUAUAUAAACUUAGAGUAUCCAUAGUGACAAUAAAACACUAAUACAAUCGUCGCAGGCUAUUUAAUGAUAAAUUUGCUGUAAUAAUUGAUAAAAUUAGGUUAGAAACGAUAGAAGAGAAAUGGCACGAUGGACACUUUUCUAUCGUUCUCACGAUAUGUAUCGUCAUAUUGCCCAGCACUAGCGUGCAAGACAAAUACAACCACAAAAGGUUCAUGCACCAAGUUUAUAACAGCAUACAGUAAAAAAUAUUGUUGUGCAUGUAUGAUAUGUUAAACGAUUUCAUGAAAGGUUAGAAAAAUGGCACAACAGUGCACAGCUUGUAUGACACUACUGUAAAUCUGCAAAACUCAAUAUAAUGAUCGUGAUUUACUGAAUUAGUUUAAAUUUUCUUCUGUUUCUGUCAAAAAAUCGAACACUAAAAAUUUAUUGUGCAUUGCAUUACAAGAAAUUGCUCUGUCUUGUAAUCAAAUUUG